GGACAGGUGGUGCAUGGUUGUCGUCAGCUCGUGUCGUGAGAUGUUGGGUUAAGUCCCGCAACGAGCGCAACCCUCGUCCUAUGUUGCCAGCGGGUCAUGCCGGGGACUCAUGGGAGACUGCCGGGGUCAACUCGGAGGAAGGUGGGAUGACGUCAAAUCAUCAUGCCCCUUAUGUCUUGGGCUUCACGCAUGCUACAAUGGCCGGUACAAAGGGCUGCGAUACCGCGAGGUGGAGCGAAUCCCAGAAAAGCCGGUCUCAGUUCGGAUUGGGGUCUGCAACUCGACCCCAUGAAGUCGGAGUCGCUAGUAAUCGCAGAUCAGCAACGCUGCGGUGAAUACGUUCCCGGGCCUU
RNAcentral lists this ribosomal RNA (352 nucleotides) under uncultured Cellulomonas sp. RNAcentral describes it as "bacterial SSU rRNA". It matches the Rfam family "Bacterial small subunit ribosomal RNA", at positions 1032 to 1382 of the family's 1533-position model. The record is from RNAcentral. Lineage: Bacteria; Bacillati; Actinomycetota; Actinomycetes; Micrococcales; Cellulomonadaceae.